UAACCUUGUUAUGGGGGUCUGGGG
RNAcentral lists this non-coding RNA (24 nucleotides) under Mus musculus (house mouse). Lineage: Eukaryota; Metazoa; Chordata; Mammalia; Rodentia; Muridae. The record is from RNAcentral.